AUAAUUACAAUAGUUGGGGCUUCAGACUCUGGGAAAGCUCAUAAGAAAUGCCUGGCGAGGAACCUCAAGCAAUACAAGAAGCAAGAAAGGUUGAAGAGUUUCAAGCCUGUUAGAAUUUAAAGUGGUAGGUUUCAGAAUUCCAAACGCUCCUUUGAAAAACUGUGGUGUCUCUUUAAGAGCCAUUUGGUGCAUUUCAUAGCCUGAUUCAUGUCACCAGCUGCCCCUGAUUUCAGUGAGAAAUGAAGAAUUUAUAGGGAACUGUAAAAUGGGGACAGGUUUUUAGUUUUCUAAAUUGAGGUUUAAUGGGCAAACUUCGGAAGGCUCAAGAAACCCCUGAGCCUAGCCGUGGGGAACUGGUUUCUUUUCUGUUUAGAAGAAAUAAACACACAAACACAUUAUCUAACUCUCAAAGUGUUGCGAGAAAGAAAGCAUUGCUCUAUGCUGAGUAGGAAAAUGAAGAAUAAGCCUUGUGGGCAAGAGGAGGAGGAGGAGGAUCACAUUGGCCAGUAGGCAGCACCCUGUACUGGCAGAGGGAGAAAUCUGAGCCUCAGCCGCGCUGCGCCACGAUCCGGCUUUGUACAAACUAUCUGGUUUCAAGUUGCAAGACUCCGGGAGUCUCUGGGAAGGUGCCCCAGAGACAGGGCGCCCUUUGCGGGGACCCUGAGGAUUGGUGAGAAUCCCCCAUCCCCAGCCACCCAGAGGGCAAGCAGGGGAGAAUCGGGGCUUAACAAGGAAAGACGAAGGUAAACGGCAAACUUGGCGUCUCUGUGUCUGACACAGGGAUCUCAUGCUGAAAUCACUUGGAAUGCAACAGCAGUGAGCAGCUCUCCUUCUGCCACCUGCUGCAAGUGUGCCCUCUCUUGAGGCCCAGCUCCAUCCUAUACUGCAACUUUUCUCGACGGACAUCUUAGAAUUUUGGUAUCUUCAAUAUCCUAUGAUCUGUAUUGCAAGGCUCACCCUCAUUCAGGACAAUGUUCUCAGACCUUCUUUGAGGAGACACUUGAACCUCUCUGAAAGACUUUCGAAGGCCCUGCUGUCCACUGCUCAGGUGAUAGCGGAUGGAAGGCUCACGGGUGCAGGGUUGUAGGCAAGGGAAAGUUUGCUGAGACUGCUCUAGAGAGGGAUCCGGAGCUCAGAGUCCAUUUCUGCAGAAUGCCUGGUGCUGAAAACUCACCCUGUCCUCAGACUUGACUGGGCUGAACAUCAGGACGCUCUCUGACGGUGCUCCCUUGGUCCCUGCUUUCCUCCAGCUCCCAGCAGCCACUCGCUUCAGCAGCUGAGUAAGUGGACAAAGGAAUGAACCCCAAGCCAGGUAAUGUUGCAGUGGUACUCUACAGUCAAAGCCAUAGUUGCCUGGACAUAGGAAUAGCCAGGACCAGCCAGUCAAAUACACAGCCAAGUGAUGUGGGCCUUGUUAAGGGAAGGAACUCCUAAAAUCUGGUUGUCGAUGGAGUACAUCAGAGUAAGACUUUGCAACAGGGGCAAUGACAACCCUUUCAAGUGUUGUGAUUGUCAGGAUCCUGUGGCAACCUGUCCUUGGUGCCCUGACUUACUAAAGUCCUUCUUAUGUGAGCUGGGAGAAAUUCAAUUCAUGUGUUCUUGGACGAUUUCAAGGAUUUUCAACAAGAUAUGUUUGUGCCACUGGAUAUUGAUGCUGUUGCUGUCUUUAUUGCAUUUGGAGCCCAGUCCCUGAAGAAAAGCCAGCUGGUCCAUUACUGGAUGGUGAGCAAGAGCAAAGGGCGCAGUGUCCACAGGCGGUGUCUGCCAGAGCAGUGUAGUGUCCAGCAAGAAGUGGGAGAGGUCGUGAGCUACACUAAAUCUGCCAAGCCUGCUGGCAGGACCUGGGAAAGUUGGAAAGAAUAAGAAGCUUCAAUAGAGCUGGGGGGUUUCUGGUGCAGAGGAAAAUGGGGGUUACUAGGCCAGCAUCAGCCUUGCUUCCUGUUCAGCCAUGAAAGCUAACUUUCUCCCCAGGGUGUCAUCCUUGUCUUCUGCGGAGUGUCUUACUAGAUCCCAGGAUUUAUGGACCCAAAUAGACUAUUAAUUUAUUGUAGGAGUCUUUAGUGACUUAUUAUAAAUACUAGUUGGCACUGCCUAAAUAAAUGUCUUCUAAGAAAUAUUUUGACUCUAAUCCUAAUGAGAAAUCCAUUUUACACAGUCAUUCAGUACUGUGUACACUGAGCAAUGGCAAGGGAAGUUUCAGGAACCAACACUUACCCUUCACAGAACAGAUAAAUCAAUACAGAAGAUUGUAGAGACUGCAAGGUUCCGAGGGGGGGAAGGACAGUCCAUGUAAGCUGUAGUGGAGGAAUUCUAAGCCCACCAAUAACAAAUCUGGAAACUUCCACACUUUACCUGGUAGACAGAAUUGGUUUAAAGUGGCUUGCCCCCGAAGUGAAGAUCUAAAGAUAAGGAAUGAAUUAUACACACUUGUAAAACUGGGGCCAUUUCGCAGACAGUAUUUUAAGUGAAGAAGAAGCUAAACAUCAAAGACAAGUAUUGUAUGGUAUCAUUUAUAUGAAAUUUCUAGAAAAGCCAAACAAUAGAGAGACAGAAAGCAGGCCAGAGGUUUGCUGGGCUAAAGGAAUGCACAGAGGAGAGGGCUGUGUGGGGAAAGGAGAGGGCUCCGAAGCCAAUGAUGACGGCAUCUCUGCAUACACUUAGUAUACAAGGACACUGUACAGCGACAGUGUAUAAACACUCGGUUGAGGCUGCGGGAGGCCUGGGGACUGACGACACUAAGCCUGAAGGGGGACGAUAGUCAAAUUUGUUUAUUUGUACUAUGUUCUUCGGCCAUGCUGGGUCCAGACUAAACCUCUCGGGAUUUUAUUGCCUCCUCAUACCACAGCCACAGCAUCAUUAGAGUGCGUGUGGUUUAUAAACAGCUCAUGGAAAACUGUACGCAUGCAUAGGUGGACGCUGCUUAGAUUUACCUCGGGAGCAAAAUUCUUUUAUAAGCAAUGGGGUUUUCUAAAUCCAAGCAACUGUUAGAUUUGGUUUCUGUAUUUUUGUAAUGUUUUCAAGGGCAAUUUCUCACCGCGUUGUCCAGGAUAGCUUUGAAUGCUUGUGUUCAAGUGGUCUUUCUGCUCCCCGCUUCCUGGGGAGCUGAUACUGUGACACCAGCUGUCUACAUGCUUAUAUACAAUAACCAACAAAUACCGUGAACAGACUCUAACAAGCUGCAGCUUCAUGCACCCGUGUUUGUCAUAUUUACGGCUAGUUCUGACUACAUGAAUGUGGAGGCCCAAAGAGGCCAAAGGUCAGAGAGUUUGAGACUUGUUUUUAGUUCGAGAUUAUUGUGCUUCUAACUCAGAGAUAAACAACUAUUUACCUAAUUGUAAGUCAGAGUUCUGCUCUCUCAAGGCUACUGUAAACAGGUAUGGCUAGUUGCCAGACCUCGUGCUCCUGAAAUAGCUUAGUAGUUGGUUCCUACCUAAAACAAGAGUCUAAGGAUCCAACUAGGUUCCAGUUUCCUUUAUGGAAAUAACUUGGGAGUCUACCCAGGGAGUGGUUUGCCUACAGAGUGUUUGGUCUAGGGCAUGAGUCAAGGGCAUGAGUGGUGAAUGUAACCCAUGACUUUCAAUUUGUACGUCAAUGAAGUCCUUUUGUUCGAUGCCUACCUUUUGAAAUCAGGGGUAUAGUAAGCUGUUGGAUAUUAAACAGGGAUGAAUUUUCAGUACUCACUGAGAUUCCCUCCCGAUACUA
This is a long non-coding RNA of Myodes glareolus (Bank vole), 3702 nucleotides long. RefSeq lists it as uncharacterized. NCBI's taxonomy places the organism in Eukaryota, Metazoa, Chordata, Mammalia, Rodentia, Cricetidae. The record is from RefSeq and is a predicted model, not a curated record.